ACGUCAAGUCAUCAUGGCCCUUACGAGUAGGGCUACACACGUGCUACAAUGGCGCAUACAAAGAGAAGCGACCUCGCGAGAGCAAGCGGACCUCAUAAAGUGCGUCGUAGUCCGGAUUGGAGUCUGCAACUCGACUCCAUGAAGUCGGAAUCGCUAGUAAUCGUAGAUCAGAAUGCUACGGUGAAUACGUUCCCGGGCCUUGUACACACCGCCCGUCACACCAUGGGAGUGGGUUGCAAAAGAAGUAGGUAGCUUAACCUUCGGGAGGGCGCUUACCACUUUGUGAUUCAUGACUGGG
Molecule: ribosomal RNA, 298 nt
Filed under: Enterobacter sp. MGL20
Lineage: Bacteria; Pseudomonadati; Pseudomonadota; Gammaproteobacteria; Enterobacterales; Enterobacteriaceae
Also listed under: 1 other name
Description: partial 16S ribosomal RNA
Rfam family: Bacterial small subunit ribosomal RNA
Source: RNAcentral